RNAcentral lists this ribosomal RNA (328 nucleotides) under uncultured bacterium. Its description in RNAcentral is "bacterial SSU rRNA". It matches the Rfam family "Bacterial small subunit ribosomal RNA", at positions 28 to 334 of the family's 1533-position model. The record is from RNAcentral.
GACGAACGCUGGCGGCGCGCCUAACACAUGCAAGUCGAACGGAGCUUGCUUGUCAGAUCCUUUCGGGGUGACGACUUGUAAGCUUAGUGGCGAACGGGUGAGUAACACGUGAGUAACCUGCCCCAGAGUGGGGGACAACAGUUGGAAACGGCUGCUAAUACCGCAUAAUGUACAGAGGGGGCAUCCCUUUUGUAUCAAAGGAGAAAUCCGCUGAAAGAUGGGCUCACGUCUGAUUAGCUGGUUGGUGGGGUAAAGGCCUACCAAGGCUGCGAUCAGUAGCCGGACUGAGAGGUUGAACGGCCACAUUGGGACUGAGAUACGGGCCCAG